This 255-nucleotide ribosomal RNA is filed under the name uncultured bacterium. RNAcentral describes it as "partial 16S ribosomal RNA". It matches the Rfam family "Bacterial small subunit ribosomal RNA", at positions 74 to 334 of the family's 1533-position model. The record is from RNAcentral.
CAAACCAAAGCUGGCGACCGGCGCACGGGUGAGUAACACGUAUCCAACCUGCCUCAUACUCGGGGAUAGCCUUUCGAAAGAAAGAUUAAUAUCCGAUAGCAUAUAUUUCCCGCAUGGGUUUUAUAUUAAAGAAAUUCGGUAUGAGAUGGGGAUGCGUUCCAUUAGUUUGUUGGGGGGGUAACGGCCCACCAAGACUACGAUGGAUAGGGGUCCUGAGAGGAAGGUCCCCCACAUUGGAACUGAGACACGGUCCAA